Molecule: non-coding RNA, 209 nt
Organism: Cinara cedri
Lineage: Eukaryota; Metazoa; Arthropoda; Insecta; Hemiptera; Aphididae
Source: the annotation of a GenBank genome assembly
GGUGUGUUAAUUUAUUUCUAUUCCUGUAGAUUUCUACUAUCGGUCACGUUAUAAUACAAAACGAGUUUGAUCGGAGUUCGAUUUAUGACAAAUAUAUAUAAGUAUAGAAUUGGCGUGUAUAAAGAUCAUGUAACACUUCAGUUGGUUUCUGGGUGACCUUGGCUGCGGGUGACCUUAUCCGCUCAGAAUCGUUUUAUUGAUUUAUCGUU